RNAcentral lists this ribosomal RNA (292 nucleotides) under uncultured bacterium. RNAcentral describes it as "partial 16S ribosomal RNA". It matches the Rfam family "Bacterial small subunit ribosomal RNA", at positions 505 to 796 of the family's 1533-position model. The record is from RNAcentral.
GUGCCAGCAGCCGCGGUAAUACGAAGGGGGCUAGCGUUGUUCGGAAUGACUGGGCGUAAAGGGCGCGUAGGCGGCGCAUCAAGUCGGGCGUGAAAGCCCCGGGCUCAACCUGGGAACUGCGUUCGAGACUGGUGUGCUAGAGUUCGGGAGAGGAGAGUGGAAUUCCCAGUGUAGAGGUGAAAUUCGUAGAUAUUGGGAAGAACACCAAUGGCGAAGGCAGCUCUCUGGACCGAUACUGACGCUGAGGCGCGAAAGCGUGGGGAGCAAACAGGAUUAGAUACCCUGGUAGUCC